RNAcentral lists this ribosomal RNA (2901 nucleotides) under Klebsiella pneumoniae. RNAcentral's name for it is "23S ribosomal RNA". It matches the Rfam family "Bacterial large subunit ribosomal RNA". The record is from RNAcentral. Lineage: Bacteria; Pseudomonadati; Pseudomonadota; Gammaproteobacteria; Enterobacterales; Enterobacteriaceae.
GGUUAAGCGACUAAGCGUACACGGUGGAUGCCCUGGCAGUCAGAGGCGAUGAAGGACGUGCUAAUCUGCGAAAAGCGUCGGUAAGGUGAUAUGAACCGUUAUAACCGGCGAUGUCCGAAUGGGGAAACCCAGUGCAAUUCGUUGCACUAUCGUUAACUGAAUACAUAGGUUAACGAGGCGAACCGGGGGAACUGAAACAUCUAAGUACCCCGAGGAAAAGAAAUCAACCGAGAUUCCCCCAGUAGCGGCGAGCGAACGGGGAGCAGCCCAGAGUCUGAAUCAGCUUGUGUGUUAGUGGAACGGUCUGGAAAGUCCGACGGUACAGGGUGAUAGUCCCGUACACCAAAAUGCACAGGUUGUGAACUCGAAGAGUAGGGCGGGACACGUGGUAUCCUGUCUGAAUAUGGGGGGACCAUCCUCCAAGGCUAAAUACUCCUGACUGACCGAUAGUGAACCAGUACCGUGAGGGAAAGGCGAAAAGAACCCCGGCGAGGGGAGUGAAAAAGAACCUGAAACCGUGUACGUACAAGCAGUGGGAGCACCUUCGGGUGUGACUGCGUACCUUUUGUAUAAUGGGUCAGCGACUUAUAUUCUGUAGCAAGGUUAACCGUAUAGGGGAGCCGCAGGGAAACCGAGUCUUAACUGGGCGUUAAGUUGCAGGGUAUAGACCCGAAACCCGGUGAUCUAGCCAUGGGCAGGUUGAAGGUUGGGUAACACUAACUGGAGGACCGAACCGACUAAUGUUGAAAAAUUAGCGGAUGACUUGUGGCUGGGGGUGAAAGGCCAAUCAAACCGGGAGAUAGCUGGUUCUCCCCGAAAGCUAUUUAGGUAGCGCCUCGUGAAUUCAUCUUCGGGGGUAGAGCACUGUUUCGGCUAGGGGGUCAUCCCGACUUACCAACCCGAUGCAAACUACGAAUACCGAAGAAUGUUAUCACGGGAGACACACGGCGGGUGCUAACGUCCGUCGUGAAGAGGGAAACAACCCAGACCGCCAGCUAAGGUCCCAAAGUCAUGGUUAAGUGGGAAACGAUGUGGGAAGGCACAGACAGCCAGGAUGUUGGCUUAGAAGCAGCCAUCAUUUAAAGAAAGCGUAAUAGCUCACUGGUCGAGUCGGCCUGCGCGGAAGAUGUAACGGGGCUAAACCAUGCACCGAAGCUGCGGCAGCGACACUAUGUGUUGUUGGGUAGGGGAGCGUUCUGUAAGCCUGCGAAGGUGACCUGUGAGGGUUGCUGGAGGUAUCAGAAGUGCGAAUGCUGACAUAAGUAACGAUAAAGCGGGUGAAAAGCCCGCUCGCCGGAAGACCAAGGGUUCCUGUCCAACGUUAAUCGGGGCAGGGUGAGUCGACCCCUAAGGCGAGGCCGAAAGGCGUAGUCGAUGGGAAACAGGUUAAUAUUCCUGUACUUGGUGUUACUGCGAAGGGGGACGGAGAAGGCUAUGUUAGCCGGGCGACGGUUGUCCCGGUUUAAGCAUGUAGGCUGGUUGUCCAGGCAAAUCCGGAUAAUCAAGGCUGAGGUGUGAUGACGAGGCACUACGGUGCUGAAGUAACAAAUGCCCUGCUUCCAGGAAAAGCCUCUAAGCAUCAGGUAACAUCAAAUCGUACCCCAAACCGACACAGGUGGUCAGGUAGAGAAUACCAAGGCGCUUGAGAGAACUCGGGUGAAGGAACUAGGCAAAAUGGUGCCGUAACUUCGGGAGAAGGCACGCUGGUGUGUAGGUGAAGCCCCUGCGGGUGGAGCUGAGACCAGUCGAAGAUACCAGCUGGCUGCAACUGUUUAUUAAAAACACAGCACUGUGCAAACACGAAAGUGGACGUAUACGGUGUGACGCCUGCCCGGUGCCGGAAGGUUAAUUGAUGGGGUUAUCCGUAAGGAGAAGCUCUUGAUCGAAGCCCCGGUAAACGGCGGCCGUAACUAUAACGGUCCUAAGGUAGCGAAAUUCCUUGUCGGGUAAGUUCCGACCUGCACGAAUGGCGUAAUGAUGGCCAGGCUGUCUCCACCCGAGACUCAGUGAAAUUGAACUCGCUGUGAAGAUGCAGUGUACCCGCGGCAAGACGGAAAGACCCCGUGAACCUUUACUAUAGCUUGACACUGAACAUUGAGCCUUGAUGUGUAGGAUAGGUGGGAGGCUUUGAAGCGUGGACGCCAGUCUGCGUGGAGCCAACCUUGAAAUACCACCCUUUAAUGUUUGAUGUUCUAACGUUGGCCCCUGACCGGGGUUGCGGACAGUGUCUGGUGGGUAGUUUGACUGGGGCGGUCUCCUCCCAAAGCGUAACGGAGGAGCACGAAGGUUAGCUAAUCCUGGUCGGACAUCAGGAGGUUAGUGCAAUGGCAUAAGCUAGCUUGACUGCGAGCGUGACGGCGCGAGCAGGUGCGAAAGCAGGUCAUAGUGAUCCGGUGGUUCUGAAUGGAAGGGCCAUCGCUCAACGGAUAAAAGGUACUCCGGGGAUAACAGGCUGAUACCGCCCAAGAGUUCAUAUCGACGGCGGUGUUUGGCACCUCGAUGUCGGCUCAUCACAUCCUGGGGCUGAAGUAGGUCCCAAGGGUAUGGCUGUUCGCCAUUUAAAGUGGUACGCGAGCUGGGUUUAGAACGUCGUGAGACAGUUCGGUCCCUAUCUGCCGUGGGCGCUGGAGAAUUGAGGGGGGCUGCUCCUAGUACGAGAGGACCGGAGUGGACGCAUCACUGGUGUUCGGGUUGUCAUGCCAAUGGCACUGCCCGGUAGCUAAAUGCGGAAGAGAUAAGUGCUGAAAGCAUCUAAGCACGAAACUUGCCCCGAGAUGAGUUCUCCCUGAGACUUUAAGUCUCCUGAAGGAACGUUGAAGACGACGACGUUGAUAGGCCGGGUGUGUAAGCGCAGCGAUGCGUUGAGCUAACCGGUACUAAUGAACCGUGAGGCUUAACCUU